This is a long non-coding RNA of Felis catus (domestic cat), 1038 nucleotides long. RefSeq lists it as uncharacterized. The transcript is spliced from 2 exons. Lineage: Eukaryota; Metazoa; Chordata; Mammalia; Carnivora; Felidae. The record is from RefSeq and is a predicted model, not a curated record.
GGUCGGGGCCGGGCCGGGCUGGGCUGCGGCUCCGCGGCUCUGCGCGAGUGCGCAUGCUCGCCGGCGGGGAGGGCUGCGAGGUCCGCGCAGGCGGCGCGGCGCGUUGGCGAGUUUAGGACGGUUAUCCGGCUGGUUGACCUCGGCACCGCGGGAUGCCUGACCACUUGAGAUAGUACUGGAAACGCGUGGUGGGGGGCUCGAACUCCCAGAAAUAUCGCCCAGCUCUUUGAACACUGGAGAUUUUCUUUUAAAAGUAAAGUCAGUCGGGGUCAGACUCCCGCUCACUGAAGACUGCGGUGUCGCUGCGGGGGCGCCCCGCCCGUGGGCCCAGCGAAGGCCGGGGACCACCCAGCGGCGAGCGCCCGCCGUUACAAGCAGCGCGUGAGCCCGGGGCCACUAACCAGGCGACGGUUAGCGGGCCCCUGUGGCCUCGAGGACGCGCAGGUGUGUGCGGGGCAGCGGCGGCACACGCCAGGGGAGUAGUCUGCACACAGUGCAGGCGUGCUCGGGCAUUUGGCCGAGUCGGUCCAGAAGACAGAACCGCCCGCUCUUGGGAAUUGAGCCAAGGAAUUCCUCAGCGGCCCGGCCGCCCCCACUCCCAACGCUGCCUGGACUUUGACCUGUGGACGAAUGGCCCCCGAGGCUGUUGGUUAUUGCAGGAUGGGCCAGAAAAACAGCUCGGGGCAACGCCCUUGUGCCCACCCUGCAGGAGGAGAGAGGUGGCGCGAGCUGACAGCACCCAUGUCCUGAGGUGGCCAGAGGCGGAGACAACCACCCAUGUGGAGGCCAGCCGGAGCUGCCGGUGGGGCGUCCGGGCUUCACGGCUUCUGCCAGAGACACUCCGUCUCACAGAGGGGGCCGUGGAGUCUUGGGAAAGUCUCAAGGCUCCAGGAAGGCUUCCCUGUGGUGGCCUCAGUUCCUGUGUGUCCCCAGUGAGGGGGCUCAGCUGGCCACUGGCGAGAGGCCUUUUCAAAGUGGAAAGUUUUUCUAAUUGAGAUAAAAUUCACAUAACAUAAAAUCCACUAUUUUAGCCCUUUU